Molecule: ribosomal RNA, 167 nt
Filed under: uncultured bacterium
Lineage: Bacteria
Description: partial 16S ribosomal RNA
Rfam family: Bacterial small subunit ribosomal RNA
Source: RNAcentral
GCUAGUAAUCGCAGAUCAGCAUGCUGUGGUGAAUACGUUCCCGGGCCUUGUACACACCGCCCGUCACACCAUGGGAGUCGGUAACACCCAAAGUUGGUAGUCUAACCGCAAGGAGGACGCCGCCUAAGGUGGGAUUGAUGACUGGGGUGAAGUCGUAACAAGGUACC